This 200-nucleotide unclassified non-coding RNA is filed under the name soil metagenome. RNAcentral describes it as "partial contains internal transcribed spacer 2 and large subunit ribosomal RNA". The record is from RNAcentral.
UUCGAGCGUCAUUAUAACCACUCAAGCCUUCGCUUGGUCUUGGGGUACGCGGUCCCGCGGCUCCUAAAAUCAGUGGCGGUGCCUGUCGGCUCUACGCGUAGUAAUACUCCUCGCGAUUGAGUCCGGUGGGCCACCUGCCAGCAACCCCCAAAUUUUUACAGGUUGACCUCGGAUCAGGUAGGGAUACCCGCUGAACUUAA